UUUGGCGCCAGAACAUUUUUCUUUUACCAUGAAUCGAGCGGGUAGAUCUUCAUAACAGAAUCGGAGAUACAUUAUAACAGAAUGUCCUUGGGAAUGAGUGCACACCCCAAUAGAAGGAAAACAAAUGAAAUAUAGGGCACUGCGGCUCAUUAAAUGGCUACAGAAGAAACACCUGCUAAAGAAGAAGCUUAGAUGCCCUGUUUGUCACCAUAAGAUGAAAAUGAUUGCCGUGGUGAAGAAAGACCAAUAUAUGUGGUGCUGCAAAAGAGCAAGUCAUAGGAACAUUUCCAGAACAAUCAGAACUUGCUCCCUCUUUGAAAAAUCAAAAUCAUCUCUUUUCAGUUGGAUCAAGUUAAUUUGCAGAUUUAUUCUCAAGCGCUCAGGCUCAGACAAAUAGAUAUGAUCGAUGAUGAAGUGGCUGGCAGCUCCAGAACACUAAGUAGCAUGGCAAGGCACAUUUGACAUGUUUGUAUACGUGCAAUUAAAAGCAAACAACUUUUUGAAUGUUUCUUUCUAUAUAUUCUGUGUAAUUAUAUUCUUUUUGUUUUCAGUAUGCACAUGGAUGCUUUGGAAAUGCAUGGAAAAGGAAGAAAUGGGUAUUUGGACUGAUGGGAAUUAAAGAGAAAAGGCGAAGGCUCAUGUUAAAACUUGUUGAAAAACAAUCAAGGCGCCACCUUGUUCUUCUGAUCAGACAACAUGUUAAUUUAGGUAGUGCCAUUACCAGUGAUGAGUGGAGAGCCUACAAGAAUGCCUACACUGUAAAUCACAGCAGGUGGUUUGUAGAUUGUCAAUCUGGCAGUCAUACACAACAUAUCGAAAGAGCUUGGAUGACCAUCAAAGGACAUGUCCGUAGACUAAGAGGAAAUCGUACUGAGAAGUUGCUGGAGGAACACCUCAUGGUUCUUGAAUGGUCAUCUUGGCUUGGUUCACAACACCCUGAUGGACAACUGGAACGUUUGUUCAAGGAUGUACAAAAAAUAUUUCCAGUCUGAACCAGUCUGGCAUGAACUUUUUUUGGAGGGGGUGACUGUUUGGUGUUUUAAAUAACACAUUUAAUGUUACAUGUGGUACUAUUACAAUACAUUGCCAUUUUUGACGGUAGUUAAAUGUUAUUUCAAGCUCUGAUUGUAAUUUAGGUCCAAGUGUAAUAAAUGGUGACGUGAUACAUUUAAGUCUCACUUUUGCCAUUUAUAAAUGUUUAUUACUCAUUAAUAAAUGGUGUUAUGCUUUACACUUUACAAUAAGGCUCCCCUUUGGCAUUUAUACAUGUUUAUUAUUCAUUAAUAAAUGUUGUUAUGCUUUACACUUUACAAUAAGGCUCCCCUUUGGCAUUUAUACAUGUUUAUUAUUCAUUAAUAAAUGUUGUUAUGCUUUACACUUUACAAUAAGGCUCCCAUUUGGUAUUUAUAAAUGUUUAUUAUUCAUUAAUAAAUGUUAUGCUUUACACUUUACAAUAAGGCUCCCCUUUGGCAUUUAUACAUGUUUAUUAUUCAUUAAUAAAUGUUGUUAUGCUUUACACUUUACAAUAAGGCUCCCCUUUGGCAUUUAUAAAUGUUUAUUAUUCAUUAAUAAAUGUUGUUAUGCUUUACACUUUACAAUAAGGCUCCCAUCUGGCAUUUAUAAAUGUUUAUUAUUCAUUAAUAAAUGUUGUUAUGCUUUACACUUUACAAUAAGGCUCCCAUCUAGCAUUUAUAAAUGUUUAUUAUUCAUUAAUAAAUGUUGUUAUGCUUUACACUUUACAAUAAGGCUCCCCUUUGGCAUUUAUAAAUGUU
Oreochromis niloticus (Nile tilapia) is the source of this 1772-nucleotide long non-coding RNA. RefSeq lists it as uncharacterized. The record is from RefSeq and is a predicted model, not a curated record. Lineage: Eukaryota; Metazoa; Chordata; Actinopteri; Cichliformes; Cichlidae. The transcript has 4 exons.